Schistosoma haematobium is the source of this 45-nucleotide non-coding RNA. The record is from Rfam. Lineage: Eukaryota; Metazoa; Platyhelminthes; Trematoda; Strigeidida; Schistosomatidae.
AGCCAACUGACAAGUCCUGAACAGGACGAAGCACGCGUCCUGGAU